CCUACGGGAGGCAGCAGUGAGGAAUAUUGGUCAAUGGACGAGAGUCUGAACCAGCCAAGUAGCGUGAAGGAUGAAUGCCCUAUGGGUUGUAAACUUCUUUUAUAUGGGAAUAAAACGUUCCACGUGUGGGAUUUUGUAUGUACCAUAUGAAUAAGGAUCGGCUAACUCCGUGCCAGCAGCCGCGGUAAUACGGAGGAUCCGAGCGUUAUCCGGAUUUAUUGGGUUUAAAGGGAGCGUAGGUGGAUUGUUAAGUCAGUUGUGAAAGUUUGCGGCUCACCCGUAGAAUUGCAGUUGAAACUGGCAGUCUUGAGUACAGUAGAGGUGUGCGGAAUUCGUGGUGUAGCGGUGAAAUGCUUAGAUAUCACGAAGAACUCCGAUUGCGAAGGCAGUUCACUGGACUGCAACUGACACUGAGGCUCGAAAGUGUGGGUAUCAAACAGGAUUAGAUACCCUUGUAGUC
This 460-nucleotide ribosomal RNA is filed under the name uncultured bacterium. Its description in RNAcentral is "partial 16S ribosomal RNA". It matches the Rfam family "Bacterial small subunit ribosomal RNA", at positions 338 to 795 of the family's 1533-position model. The record is from RNAcentral.